GCAAAAUCACCAGUGUUAAAUUUUCAGGGAUGGUGUUAAAUACACAGUGUUGAUGCUGUUUUAACACUAUCUGGUAAUAAAAUAACACUGCCAUUGCUAGGCCAGUGUUAUAUUCACGACAGUGUCAGUGUAAAACAAGGGUGUUAUCAGAUUUCACUCUGAGCGGUGUAAAUCAAGCCACGCCUCCACUAAACAUUUCCUGUCAGGGAUUUUACCGCCAUUUUCUUUCACAGGAGGACUGAAGAGAUCAGAUGCUAGUUUGGUGAAAGUUCACACUGAGUGCUUCAAAUCAUUCAGACGAGAUGCUGUUUUUAGGGCAGUUUAUUAAAGAAGACCUGACAUGGAUGACUUCCAAUGAGAAACGACUGCUAAUACUUAUAUAAAUUCAUUACAGAAGGACCCUACCAGACUAUAUUUGAAUACGGCAUACCCAUGAAUUCUGGAACUGUUAUUCCUUAACCCAGUUUGGAGGAUAAGAGCUUACCAACUAGUUACAGUAUAAAUAUGCUGAGGUGAUGUAUUGCAAAAUAGCCAACAUACAACAAUAUGGAUGACCCUCUGUCUGGUCAACAGGAGUUUAAAUAUGGACGGGACAGUGAUGUGGCAGCUCUUCCCUGGCUCAUUCACCUCUUGCCUUUCAUUUGUGAAAGGAAGAAAGAAGAAAGAGGGUCAAUGUGCAACUGAAGCUACUGAUUGUGCUAUGUGAUGAGCAUCAAUCCAUGCUUUGAGGGGGAUGAAUCAGCACAGCCCUGCCUGCACUGCGUUGGGAACAGAAGUUGCAUCCAGAAUUUUUGCAUCAUUCUGGACCAAAAAGCCAUUCCCUCCAUGAUGAAGACCACUGAUGCAGCCUUCCACUACAUCAUGAGUAAAACAACUACAGAACUAAAUACCAGGUUGGAACGUAUUUAAGAAAAAUGAAACGUCUUUUGAAUUGAAAUGUCUGUUUUGUUAUGGAAAAAUCUUUAGUAUUGUGAAGGAUAAGCAUUUCUGCCUGCCAGUAAAGUAAUUGCAGUGUAUUUUAAUGUUCAAGUUUUGAGUAGGGUGGCUAAUUUUUUUUAAACUCUCAUUUGAUAUAUUAAAG
This is a non-coding RNA of Paramisgurnus dabryanus, 1081 nucleotides long. The record is from RefSeq and is a predicted model, not a curated record. NCBI's taxonomy places the organism in Eukaryota, Metazoa, Chordata, Actinopteri, Cypriniformes, Cobitidae.